Megalobrama amblycephala (Wuchang bream) is the source of this 3372-nucleotide long non-coding RNA. RefSeq lists it as uncharacterized. Lineage: Eukaryota; Metazoa; Chordata; Actinopteri; Cypriniformes; Xenocyprididae. The transcript has 3 exons. The record is from RefSeq and is a predicted model, not a curated record.
ACAAUGGAGUUUGAGACUCACUGUAUGUCAUUUCCAUGUACUGAACUCUUGUUAUUUAACUAUGGCAAGAUAAAUUCAAUUUUUUAUUCGAGGGCACCUUUAAGUUAAAAUGUUUACAUUUGCUUGAACUGGCUGCAUUUGAACAUCAAUCAACACUCAAGAAAAUGUUAGUAUUGCAUUUAGGUAAAAAGAAAAUGACUCCCAAAGGCCAGAGGGUAUGUGGGCUGGGGUGGCAGCCACCCUGUUAAGCUCUGCCUCUGGUCACUCUGGUACGCCGCCUCAUCCUCUUCUGUGUCAGGCCGGCCGGGCUGAACCACUUACUCCACUGGACUGGGUCUGUCCUUUGAGAGGUCACUGAGUUAGAAGGCAUUCACCUGUGCUUUGGCUGAAGAGGUAUUCCAAGCCAGAGCAGCAGAGGUUUGGAAAUUCUCCCCAACAAUUUCUCCAGCAGCAGGUAUUGAGCCGUUCGAUCAGUGAACGGUUCCUGUAACCCUGUUCAUUGUUGGCCUCUACCAGCAGGAAUGCAUGGCGAAGCAGACAGGCAAAUGGCAGCUCUCUUGGAGGAGGUGGAGUCAAAACAUGGGUCCUAAAGCUGACAUAAUCUCCUUCUCAAUACCUUCUCCAUGGUGUUCCCUUCAGUUCAGUCCUACCAUACCACAUUCUUGUCCACACCACACCUGUGUGUUAAUUUGUAUGCCAACAGAGGCUACUGCUACUAAUUUAAAGAAAGCGGACACCAAUGUUCAGUAUAAUCGCCUAUGUGUAGCAGGGAACAUGGCUUAGUGAGCCUCACUGAGUUGGCACAGGAUAGCAGGAUGCCAUGCCAACCAACAACCCACCAUGCCACCUUCACUGCUCCUGCCUGCUUUGGUGGACUAUCCACAGCACAGUAUCUCUGUCAGCAUGGAAUACCUGUUUGAUACGUUGCAGAUAUGACAAACCUGUGAUAUCAAAAACCUUAGUAGGCUGUUCACAGUGGAAAAAGUAGCACAUUAUUACAUCUGUGAAUGUAUUUGGAUAAAAAUUAAUAAUAUAAAAUAAUCUGUUGCACUGCAACUCUAUCAAGAGCCUAUAUAGUUAAAAAUGUCAUACCUUGGUGACUUGUAGAGGUACAUGUCCUUUCCGUUACCCACGCAUUUGUCACCAUGAGGACAUCUCAGCGAGUAUCUCCAUACCCCAGCAGGCCGCCAGACAAGGAUACAACUCUGAAAGAAGAGAUGGCACAGUGCCACUAACAUUUCCCAGAGAUUCCGGAGGGUAAAUCCACAUUCCAUCUGAUUUCAUUACCCAUCGCCUCUUCAUUGCACCGGCGCUGUCAUGGUACACCUGAAUGUGGGUGAAGAGCCCUCUCUCUGUGUCAUCUUUUACCCAUGAGAGGUCAGCUGGUGAAAUUCCAAUUAGCAUUUUCCCACAGGUGCACCCGACCCUCCAGCUCAACCUUUAAAAAUGUCAAAACGGUAUAAUACAUUCUCACUCCAAUAAUAAUCAUUCAUGUUUGAUAACUUUGCAUAUAAUAUGAAUAUUACUCAACAAAGAGUCACUCAGACGUGGUUCUACAGAAGAAACAUGACUCAUGACAGAGACUCCUUGUGCUUGAGCUUACAAACAGAAUUAUUAAUUAAUAUGCAUGUGGAUGUCAUUGAUGUGGCAGAGAACAUCAAUACAUGACAGUGGAACAUUGCAACAGUAGACUGUGACUCAAUCACCUCUAAGAAAUGAGUGUCAUCCAGCCAUUAAUGAUCAUUGAUGGAGGAGCUUAACAUCUGUGUACCAAACAUAUAACACAAGUACAUGCAGCUACCAGCAGACACAGCUGUGCGCCUUCUGGAUCAAAUCCCUCUGACUACUGCUGAAAUCAUCUGGCCUGUCCUUCAGCGCAGAAUACUGGCUGUAGAGCUCCUGAAAGGCAAAGACUGCAGCAGAGAGGGCAGACUUGAACAGGGCUUACUUUGGGUGGUGAUCCGUCUGAACGGCCGCAUCAAAUCGAUGGAUCCAAUGAAAGACAUCGAGCCGUACCAGCAUACCCCCAUCUGUCCACUCACUGAAGAGCUGUUCCAAGCCAUAGACAUGACAGCAGCCACGGUCUAUAUACAUGAAUGAGUUCAGGAGGUGCCUCACCAUCUCUUCUGUACCUCUGCAUGAGGCCUUCAGCCAUCGAGCGCAUUUUGUCCACUGAUUCCUCACUGGUCAGGACAGAUGAGGAUCUGACCCAGCUCAUUUGCCACAUUGGUGCACCAUUCUGCAGUGCCUUUUCCGUCUCCAGAAAGUUAAUUGCAGAUCUGAUAAUGAAUACAAAACAAAGAAAUUCAAACAUUUAUAAUCUGUUUAUUUUCUUCACAGUGUUGACUUAUUAGUUUAGUCAGUUAUUGAUAUUUAUUAAUGAUUAAGUUUUUCUAUUAUGCAUGAGUACAGAAAUCUUCCUCUGCCGUGAACAAUAAUCCCUGCUAAAUUCAUGUGACUAUGUUUACAAUCAGACAUUUUUGCAUUAGUAAGACUGUUAAAUUCACCUUCUUGGUGGAGUCACACUUUAAGACUUUCCCAAAAGUGGACAUGAUCUGUGUUUGGUAGCCCUCAAUGUUUUAAGCUUCAGCAAUAAGAAAGGCCUUUUAGUCUUUGCCUAAACAUUUAAGAAAACUCUGUUAACUCUGUCUGACUUGUGAUCUUCCCAGUUUUUUUUGUACUGGCUGAGGAGGGUGGUGAAUACGUCUUUCCUUUGUAGGUCCUCCUUGCAGUGGUUCUCCGGGACCUGUCUCCAUACCUUGGUCAUGGUGUUGCCCUCAGUGCGAUCCCUCAUCAGGCGGAUCACCUGCUUGUCCACACCACACCUAAAAUUAAAGCACAAUCAUUGGAUGGCUGCGAAACGUAGAUAUUUUUUACUAGUGGAAAAAAAAAAAAAAAAAGAAGAAAUUAUUGUGAAAUUAUGCAGAGACUCACCAUAAUGUUAACACAGCUCUGUAAGCUGGACUGAGCUGGUCGAUGAUGCAUGCAUCCCAUGACGGGAAACGACCAGUGGUGUGUUCCUCUGACUCCUUGGCAGCCUUUAUGCAUGCAUUACAUGCCAGGACCUCAGUCAGCAUGGAGUACCAGCCGGACAUGUGGCAGAUCUGUCUGACCGUAUGGGAGUAGCCACAACGGUACAGAAAAGCUUUCUGAUUAGAACGGGCAGGGCAGUCAGACCUUGGACAGCACAGAUUGUAACGCCACACUCCAACUGGUCUCUAGAAAAAAAAAAUGGCUGUUGUAAAAGGAGUCUGCUGAGGAGACUUUCCCCUUCCACCACUCCAGGAAAUUCAGGAGGAUGAAACCACAUCCUGUCAUCCUUCAGGACUUUCCUCCACCUUGUGUUGCCAUACUUGUCUUUAUAAGACAUUG